GGUGUAGGGAAGCUUAUCAGCAAAGCCACAUGCUAAGUGCAGUUAUUCCCAGACACCUGGGAAGGUCUGAAACUGGGACCACCCAUGGUCGUCAGGGGAGCAGAAUUCCCAGACAGGAGGGCUACACUAGGCAAUCAGGCAGCAGAGGCCUGACCAGCUCUCAGGAGGCAGAUGCCCCCAUCUCCUGAGCUUGCAACAAACUCACAGCCAGACCACUGAGUUCAAUAACUGAGGUGAGUCAUAUCUCAGCCUUAUAACCAAAAUCAAAGGACUCUCCCAUGGC
RNAcentral lists this RNase P RNA (283 nucleotides) under Nannospalax galili (Upper Galilee mountains blind mole rat). RNAcentral describes it as "Nuclear RNase P (ENSNGAG00000009145.1)". It matches the Rfam family "Nuclear RNase P". From Rfam's summary of the family: Ribonuclease P (RNase P) is a ubiquitous endoribonuclease, found in archaea, bacteria and eukarya as well as chloroplasts and mitochondria. The record is from Rfam by way of RNAcentral. Lineage: Eukaryota; Metazoa; Chordata; Mammalia; Rodentia; Spalacidae.